AGGGGCGCGCGUCAGAGUCGGGCAGGAGCCGGGGCUGGAGGCAGGGGCUGCGGUGCCAUGGGGUCGCGGAGGGCCGCGGGCCGGGGCUGGGGCCUGGGUGGUCGAGCAGGAGCUGGUGGAGAUAGCGAGGACGACGGGCCGGUGUGGACGCCCGGCCCAGCCAGUCGCAGCUACUUGCUUAGCGUGCGGCCAGAGGCUAGCUUAUCAAGCAACCGGUUGUCUCACCCCAGCUCUGGAAGGAGCACCUUCUGCUCCAUCAUUGCUCAGCUCACAGAGGAGACCCAGCCACUGUUCGAGACCACACUCAAGUCCCGUGCCGUGUCCGAAGACAGUGACGUCAGGUUCACCUGCAUUGUCACAGGAUACCCAGAGCCAGAGGUGACCUGGUACAAGGAUGACAUAGAACUGGACCGUUACUGUGGCUUGCCAAAAUACGAGAUCACUCAUCAAGGCAACCGUCACACCCUGCAGCUGUACAGGUGUCAGGAAGAAGAUGCUGCCAUCUACCAAGCCUCUGCCCGGAACACCAAGGGCAUCGUGUCCUGCUCAGGGGUCCUAGAGGUGGGCACUAUGACGGAGUACAAGAUUCACCAGCGCUGGUUCGCCAAGUUGAAGCGCAAGGCUGCAGCCAAGAUGAGGGAGAUUGAGCAGAGCUGGAAGCAUGGAAAAGAGGCUUCAGGGGAGGCUGACACGCUUCUUCGCAAGAUCAGCCCCGACCGCUUCCAAAGAAAGCGCCGACUGAGUGGAGUCGAAGAGGCUGUCCUCUCCACGCCAGUCAGGGAAAUGGAGGAAGGCUCCUCAGCGGCUUGGCAGGAAGGAGAGACUGAGUCUGCUCAGCACCCGGGGUUGGGUUUGAUCAACAGUUUUGCUCCUGGAGAGGCGCCCACCAAUGGGGAGCCUGCUCCAGAGAACGGGGAAGACGAAGAGCGUGGCUUGCUGACAUACAUCUGCGAGGUCAUGGAACUGGGGCCUCAGAACAGCCCUCCAAAGGAGUCUGGGGCUAAGAAGAAAAGGAAGGAUGAGGAAUCUAAACCAGGAGAGCAGAAGCUGGAGUUAGAAAAGGCAGAAGGGAGCCAGUGCUCUUCAGAAAACGUCGUCCCCAGUACAGACAAACCCAACUCCAGUAGAAGGGAGAAGUCCACGGAUACACAGCCAGCUCAGACCCAGCCCAGAGGCCGGGUAGCACGGGGGCCUGGGAUAGAAAGCACCAGGAAGACAGCCUCUGUCCUGGGCAUUCAAGACAAGGUCCAGGAUGUCCCCGCCCCCGCCCCUGCCCCGGUCCCCGCCCCAGCCCUGGCCCCGGCCCCUGUCCCAGUCCCUGCACCCACCCCUGUUCCAAGCCGCAGCUCAGAGCAGGUGUAUUUCUCCCUGAAGGACAUGUUCAUGGAGACCACCCGGGCAGGCAGGUCCCAGGAAGAGGAAAAACCUCCACCUCCAAGUACCAGGGUAGCUGGAGAAAGUCCCCCAGGAAAGACACCAGUCAAGUCUAGACUGGAGAAGGUACCGAUGGUCUCCAGCCAGCCCACAUCUUCCAUGGUUCCCCCGCCCAUUAAGCCUUUGAACAGGAAGAGAUUUGCCCCUCCUAAAUCCAAAGUGGAGUCAACUACUACCUCUCUCUCAAGUCAGACUUCAGAAUCUAUGGCCCAGAGCUUAGGGAAGGCUCUACCUUCAGCCUCUACCCAGGUCCCAACACCCCCUGCUCGACGGAGACACGGCACCCGAGAUAGCCCCUUGCAAGGACAAACGAGCCACAAGACUCCAGGAGAGGCUCUGGAGUCCCCAGCAACCGUGGCUCCCACCAAGUCUGCCAACAGCAGCUCCGAUACCGUCUCUGUUGAUCACGACAGCUCUGGAAAUCAAGGGGCCACGGAGCCCAUGGAUACAGAAACUCAGGAAGAUGGAAGGACACUUGUGGAUGGGAGAACUGGAAGCAGGAAGAAAACACACACAGAUGGAAAGCUGCAAGUGGAUGGGAGGACUCAGGGAGACGGAGCACAAGACAGAGCACACGCUUCGCCAAGGACACAGGCAGGUGAGAAGGCACCGACGGACGUUGUGACACAAGGAAGUGAGAGGCCACAGUCAGACAGGAGUUCAUGGAAGAAUUUGGUGACACAGAGAAGAGUGGAUAUGCAGGUAGGACAGAUGCAGGCAGGUGAGAGGUGGCAGCAAGACCCUGGAGACGCAAGGAUACAGGAGGAAGAAAAAGAGACACAGUCAGCAGCAGGCAGCAUUCCUGUAGCUUUCGAAACCCAAUCAGAGCAGUUGUCCAUGGCCAGCCUCAGCUCACUUCCUGGAGCUCUCAAAGGCUCACCAUCAGGAUGCCCUAGAGAGUCCCAGGCUAUAGAAUGUUUUGAGAAGAGCACAGAGGCACCCUGUGUCCAAGAAAGAUCUGACUUGAUGCUGCGGUCUGAAGAGGCAGCCUUCAGAAGCCAUGAGGAUGGGCUGCUAGGCCCCCCAUCAGGGAACCGUACCUACCCAACACAGUUGCCUCCCGAGGGGCACUCAGAGCAUUUGGGAGGACAAACACAUCAAAGGUCAGAGCAAGAGGACAGCCUGUCUCAGUGCCCCAAGAAGGAGCAGCCCCAGGAACCGCUUCAUGUGGGUCUCUCUGGUGGGCAUUCAACUGGCUUGAGUCAGGAGGUGCCUGCCAUGCCUUCUCUUCCUGGGACGGGCCUAACCAGUAGUCUGCAGGAGGAGCUACCAGGCACCGCAGCUUCUCUGCACACAAACACAGAUGUCCCCCUCCCCUCCAGGGACCAGGACUUUCCGAGUUCUGCUCCCACUCUGCAAUUGGGGCCAGGGUCCCCCACUCAGAGUCACCCACCAGAAGCCAUGGCUACUAGCAGUGAGGGAGCCUGUGCCAAGGAGCCAAAUGUGGACGGGAGGUCCUCAGGUACCCGGAGCUGUGACCCUGGCCUUAUAGAUUCCCUGAAGAACUACUUGCUUCUGCUGCUGAAGCUAUCCAGUCCAGAGACAAGUGAAGCCAGGGCCGAGUCCCAGGAAGUGGCAGACACCGGGGGCUUAACCUCCUCCUCUACUCUGGUCCCCACCAUGGAGGUGGCUGGGCUGAGUCCCAGGACGUCGAGGCGAAUCCUGGAACGCGUGGAGAACAAUCACUUAGUGCAGAGUGCACAGACCCUGUUGCUGAGCCCCUGCACCUCCCGCCGCCUUACUGGCCUUCUGGACCGUGAGGUACAGGCUGGCCAGCAGGCUCUGGCUGCUGCCCAGUGCUCUCGGGGCCCGUGCCCCACCCCCCUCACCAUCCCUGCCAUUGUGGUGGGUGAGGAAGGAUCUGCGGGAGAGGAUUCCGAGGAGAGGACUUCGCAGGAAAGUGACAAGAAGGGACUGCUAGGGGAAGUGGAGGGGCACACAGUGGAAAGCAGAACCCAGGAGCCCUGCCAAGAAGAAGCAAUGCCAGGGGAGGCUUUGACGGGUCUCCCUGCAGCUACACCCGAGGAACUGGCUCUGGGGGCCCGGAGGAAGAGGUUCCUCCCUAAGGUCAGAGCAGGGUCAGAUGGAGAGGCAAACAAGGCUGAAGAAAGGGAGAGCCCCACGGUUUCCCCCCGGGGACCCAGGAAGGGCCUGACACCUGGGUCACCAGGGACUCCAGGGCGGGAGAGACGGUCCCCUACCCAGGCCCGAAAAGCCAGCAUGUUAGAGGUGCCUGGCGCAGAAGAAGAGCCUGCAACUGGAGACUUGGUCUCCAGAUCCAAAGACAGUGGCCUGGACUCAGAGCCUGCGGUGGAUGAAGGCAAGCAGGAAGCUCUGGCCAAGCAAAGGAAAGCUAAGGACCUGCUAAAAGCCCCACAGGUGAUCCGGAAAAUUCGGGUGGAACAGUUUCCAGAUUCUUCUGGUAGUCUGAAGCUUUGGUGCCAGUUUUUCAACAUUGUUAGUGACUCAGUCUUGACAUGGGCGAAGGAUCAGCACCCAGUGGGCGAAGUGAACAGGAGGGCUCCCAGAGCCUGGGUUCCCAGCAGCCUGUGAGAGUUGGGUCGAAGGCCCUGGGUGAUGACCCUCACGAGAAGGGUCUCCGCUCUCUGCAGUGCAGGGGACGAGGGGCCAGCGGCUUUGGCCAUCGUGCAGGCGUCUCCCACGGACUGUGGUGUGUAUCGCUGUACCAUCCAAAACGAGCAUGGCUCAGCGUCCACUGACUUCUGCCUCAGCCCCGAGGUAUUGUCCGGCUUCAUCUCCAGAGAGGAAGGUGAAGUUGGAGAAGAGAUUGAGAUGACCCCCAUGGUGUUUGCUAAGGGUCUGGCUGACUCUGGCUGCUGGGGGGACAAGCUCUUUGGGCGAUUGGUGAGCGAGGAACUUCGAGGGGGUGGACAUGGCCUUCAGAAGGCGUCCCGGGCCAAGGUCAUCUAUGGGCUGGAACCCAUCUUCGAAUCUGGCCGCACGUGCAUCAUCAAAGUAUCCAGCCUGCUUGUGUUCGGACCCAGCAGUGAGACCUCUCUUCUGGGCAGAAACUAUGACGUCACUAUCCAGGGAUGCAAGAUCCAGAACAUGAGUCGAGAGUACUGCAAAAUCUUUGCAGCUGAAGCCCGGGCGGCCUCUGGCUUCGGAGAGGUGCCCGAGAUCAUCCCACUCUACUUGAUCUACCGGCCUGCAAACAAUAUACCAUAUGCAACCCUGGAGGAAGAUCUGGGCAAGCCCCUGCAGACUUACUGUUCCAGGCAGUGGGGCUGUGCUGGGGCCCCCGCAGCAGCCAGCAGCUCCGAGGCCUUGCAGAAAUGCCAAACCUUCCAGCACUGGCUGUAUCAGUGGACAAACGGCAGCUUUCUUGUCACAGAUCUGACAGGAGCUGACUGGAAGAUGACUGAUGUACAGAUUGCUACCAAACUUCGAGGAUACCAAGGCCUCAAGGAGAGCUGUUUUCCUGCCCUGCUGGACCAGUUUGCCUCUUCCCACCAGUGUAACACCUACUGUGACAUGCUGGGGCUGAAGCCCCUCAAAGGCCCUGAGGCUGCCCACCCUCAAGCCAAGGCCAAAGGCUCCAAAAGUCCAUCUGCUGGCAGAAAAGGCUCACAGCUGAGUCCUCAACCCCAGAAGAAAGGCCUUCCCAGUCCCCAGGGCUCCAGGAAGAGCGCUCCAAGCUCCAGGGCUACACUUCAGGCCUCCCAGGCAGCCACUGUUCAGUUACUGGGACAGCCUCCUGUCCAAGAUGGGAGCUCUAAGGCCCAGAGCAUGCGGUAGCCCCACCAGGAAGCGGGGGGCCUCUACCCGAGAGCAGACCAACCAGGAAGCAGCUUGAACCAGAUGGAGACAUUUUCGAUUCAGGACUAACCAGAGAAGGUGCCCAGAGGAGGCAUGCCUUUGGGACCUCUCUGAGUAGUUUCACCUCAUUGGAAGGCUUUGGGCACAUGACCUAUUGGCCUCUUCAACUUUCAUUAUCACCCAGGGCUCCCAGGCCCCAAGUGGGGCCCACCUCCAAGUACCUGGUGGCCUAGACCCUCAUCUAAGUUUACACUUGCCACUGCUGGGGGCUCCUGAGUCCUCUGCAUGAGUUCUGCACUCUGACCCCUUGCCCCAAUCACCACACAAGUAAGUGUUGCACUCUGGGGCCAGCAGGCCAGCAUUUACCUUUUUGCCCCUGCUUAUCCUGGCUCUCUCCCUGUCCUCAGGGCACUAGACUUCUUGUGUGGGGUCUAGCCUUGUGCCUCUCAGGGUUUCAUCUCCUUUCAGCUUCUUUGCCUCAUUCAUCACAGUUUAUCCUGCCACUAACCUGUCCUGAGUCCCCCCCUGGGCCCCAGAGCCCUCUGGAGCCUAUCACUUCUUUGUGCAGUGUUUUUUGUUUUUUUUUUUUUUUGUUUUUUUUUUGAUGAACCAUGUUCUUGUCACUCUGCACUUACUUGUUUCCCAUGCUGCCUUGCACACACGCCCGUCCCCCAUCCCAGGCUUUGAACCCAAUUCAGUCUGCUGCCUGCCCUUCCCUGGCUUUUGCUUAUCCCUUUGUCUAAGGGCUCCUUCUAUCCUGACCCUGCAUCCUACCCACCAGCGUAUGGGCAAGGAACAGCCUGUCUGACUUCACUCUACCCUAGUGCCCUCUCCCCUGGCUCUCCCAGGUUCUCUGCUCAGGAGGAGGGAGGUGGCACGGGAACCUGUGAACAGCUACUGGGGCCAGGGAUUAACUCUAAGUGCCUUAUACUCUGUUCUGAAAGGAGUGAGGUUGCAGUAAAUGUCACAUCUCUAUCCUCAAGGACUAGAGACUAGGACUCACUUGGGGGAAGAGGAGGCACAGGGUGUUCCUGGAGGGUUUCGAUCCAUUCACACGCUUGUGUAGAGAAGGAUAUCUUUCUGCCUACCUCCAACCAUUUGCUCUUGAUCCUGCUCAGGUGUGGGUCCCCAGGGAAUUUCUGUGCAGGGGUCCAGCACCCUGGGCCCUUUCUAGAUACCCCUCCUGAGACCUGGAAUGGAGUAGGGUCUGGAGCUAGCCUGCUCCCCUUGCUAUGCAAUAAAGGCAGUGACUGUGUGUCCUGUUUGUUGCUCUCA
RNA transcript from Mus musculus (house mouse), 6489 nucleotides. It is a transcript of the gene named alpha-kinase 3, with no coding region annotated. Lineage: Eukaryota; Metazoa; Chordata; Mammalia; Rodentia; Muridae. The record is from RefSeq and is marked validated. The transcript is spliced from 14 exons.